UUAUAUUCUCCACAGGGGGGGAUGAGAACCCCCGACCGGGGUUCGACAACUGGCGCAGCCAGUUGGACAGACCGCGCACACAGUAAGCGGGCUGCCCCGCAGGGGCGAGCGAAGCGAGUCAAUCCCCCCCUCACCGCCA
RNAcentral lists this small RNA (139 nucleotides) under Klebsiella pneumoniae. RNAcentral's name for it is "RtT sRNA". It matches the Rfam family "RtT RNA". Rfam says of the family: This family represents a bacterial cis-regulatory element known as RtT RNA. The record is from RNAcentral. Lineage: Bacteria; Pseudomonadati; Pseudomonadota; Gammaproteobacteria; Enterobacterales; Enterobacteriaceae.